CUUCAGCGAGCCGAGCAGCAGCGGCCGGUCGACGGGACGGUCCUGGCCGUAGGUGGCCAGCAGGGCCUGGGCCUC
Molecule: antisense RNA, 75 nt
Filed under: Streptomyces sp. AVP053U2
Lineage: Bacteria; Bacillati; Actinomycetota; Actinomycetes; Kitasatosporales; Streptomycetaceae
Description: ASpks TB sRNA
Rfam family: ASpks TB sRNA
Source: Rfam by way of RNAcentral